RNAcentral lists this ribosomal RNA (328 nucleotides) under uncultured eukaryote. Its description in RNAcentral is "partial 18S ribosomal RNA". It matches the Rfam family "Eukaryotic small subunit ribosomal RNA", at positions 1470 to 1796 of the family's 1831-position model. The record is from RNAcentral.
CCCUUAGAUGUCCGGGGCUGCACGCGCGCUACACUGAAGGAAUCAGCGUGCUAAAACCAUUGUCGAAAGGCAUUGGUAAACCCAUUAAAAUCCUACGUGAUUGGGAUCGGGAAUUGCAAUUAUUUCCCUUGAACGAGGAAUUCCCAGUAAGUGUGGGUCAUAAGCUCGCGUUGAUUACGUCCCUGCCCUUUGUACACACCGCCUGUCGCUGCCCGGGACUGAGCCGUUUCGAGAAAAGCGGGGACUGCUGCUGUCGGGGCUUUCGGGCCUUGGCUUCGGUGGAAACCGCUUUAAUCGCAGUGGCUUGAACCGGGCAAAANUCGUANCA